Tympanuchus pallidicinctus (lesser prairie-chicken) is the source of this 668-nucleotide long non-coding RNA. RefSeq lists it as uncharacterized. The record is from RefSeq and is a predicted model, not a curated record. NCBI's taxonomy places the organism in Eukaryota, Metazoa, Chordata, Aves, Galliformes, Phasianidae. The transcript is spliced from 2 exons.
CUUGAAGGUCUGUUCCAACCUCCAAUUCUGUGAGUCUAUGAUUCUAAGUAAACUGUAGGAAACGUGGAGUCACUGGCAGAUGGACAGGGUUUUAAACACCCAAUCAAAACCAACCAAGAAGCCAGACAAAAAAUCCUGCAUCAGUCUGCCUUCUGCCUGUGGAUAAACUACUCAGUUUGACUAUUCAGGAUGCUUUGUGUUUGAACAUCUUCUGGUUUUCAUGGCUUUGAAACAAUUUUUAUCAUCUCCCUUGUGCACUUCAGAGGUGUUUCUUCCUCUUGCUUAUAAAAUACUGCUGCAGGCCACCACACACAUAUUGUCAGAACAUCUGAACUCCAAGGAAGAUGGUAAUUUAACUUCCCAGUUUUUAAAGCCUUAGAUUUAGUAGGUUUAGUAAACACCCAUUCUUCAAAUAUUGGUUCUCAGAGUGAUAUCCAAACCUGAGGCUACAACUGAAAUGAUAUCCAGCAAGGAUCUUGAUGAAGCAGGUUUAAAAAACAACAAAGCAAACAAGCAACCAACAAAACAAACAAACAACAAUGCAAAAAUAAUGGGAAACUACUACUUUCAAAAGAAUUUCAGAAGUAAAUUUGCCUUUAUUUAAAAAAGACAAAUUGCUGUUAGAGAAGAAAACAAAAUUAUACUAAAAAAAAAAAAAGAAAUCUUCA